RNAcentral lists this long non-coding RNA (1658 nucleotides) under Homo sapiens (human). RNAcentral's name for it is "HSALNT0178393". Lineage: Eukaryota; Metazoa; Chordata; Mammalia; Primates; Hominidae. The record is from RNAcentral.
CUUGGCGCGGGCCCGGGGCUGGCCAGCAGCCUGCUCCGCGCGGAUCCGGGGAAUGCGUGAGAGGAGAGCAGCUCUGAGCCCUGCUUCCAAGGGGCGCGCCCGGUUAUUCCCCUCGCUCCCUCAGUCCGACCCCGGGCGCUCCCCCGCGGAGAUUGGUGUGUGAGCAGAACAGCUUGAGAAUGUGUUCUAGGACCUGGUUACCUUUCCUUCAUCAUCUCUCAACCCAUGUGUAUAUUGGGAAAAUCAGAGACCGGUCAAGUCAUGCCUCCAAGAAGGGCUUGACCAGGGUGGGCUUUGUGGUCCCACCAAGAAGCUUGGACUUCAUCCUGUUGGGGGAUGGACCAAAGGAGGGGUGUGAGCAGAGAGGCAUCCACAAGGAUGGCUCAUCCUCCACCCACUUCAAUCACCAGUGUUGUACAGCCAUUGGGGAUUACACGUGCAGCUUUGUAGCUUGUGAGAGGUUUGACGCAUGCACCUCUGAGAUAUGCUUCAGUGAUAGCAGUCUUAGCUCCUCCAUUGCACACAUGAGGAGGGUAAGUGGCCAGCCUAUAAGGCAGAGAGGACACUUGCCCUAAGAGAGGCACAGGUAGAAAGACAGAAACAAACGUGUAUCAAGCUCCCUGCUCUGUGCUAGGCCCUGGCUUGUGUGAGCUUGCCCAGUCCUCACAGCCACCACACAAGGGGUGAUCACCCCCACCGCUUUGCACAUGGGGUGCAGGGAAGUAAAGUGACUUGUCCUGGAUCACACAAGGAGUAAGUAGUAAAGCUGAGAUUCACACCAAGUCUUCCAGAGCCUCAAACCUGUACGCUUUUCCUGCCUCCCAAGGCUGGGAGAGGGAGCACCUGUAACAGCAGAACUACUGGACGAAAGCAAAUUCCCAUCCAUCGCCUCCACAGCCCUGGGAGAGACGAGGUUUUGCCAUGUUAGCCAAGAUGGUCUCAAGCUCCUGACCUCGUGAUCCGCCCAUCUCAACCUCCCAAAGCGCUGGGAUUACAGGCGUGAGCCACCGCGCCCAGCUGAAAUCAUUUCUUCAAAUACAACCUUGAGAGCCCAAGAAGUGACAGGGAUGACAGGCUGCUGGGGUGGUCCCACAGUUCCUCAGGGUUUGUCUCUCACUUGCCCAGCCCACACACCCUAUCUCCAGGGCUCUGUGGAACACAGUUUGAAACUCCUGCUGCACAGAAUAGCAAGUGCAGGGCCAGGGGAUGCACUGAAGACGGGCAUUCAGGUGGAUGCCCCCUGCACACUGUGGAAAGGCACCCUGGUGGGCUGGCACCUGGUCAGACCCAUCUUCCUGAGCAAGGGCACUGGACACUCGUGGCUCCCCAUAGUUCUUAGGAUGAGGCCCCAGCUCCUUAACUUGGCAUUCAAGGCCUCACAUCAUCCUGCUCCUGCCACUCUCUCCAGCCGCCUCCACUCCUCUCCCACCGCCAUGCUCUAAUGUGGGUCCAGCUCCCUAGGCCCAUCAGGCAGGGACAAAGCUGAUUCUGAGCAGAUCUGGCACAAGGAAGUCACCAGAAAACACUAUUGGGUUCCUCAAGGGUAAAGACUGGAUCUUAUCCAUCUUGUUGCCCAUUCCUGCCUCUGCAAUCAUGUGCACUCUGGGAACUUGGAAAAUACAUUGUGGCAUCCAGUAUUAAAUCUCAUGGUACCUAGA